This 464-nucleotide ribosomal RNA is filed under the name uncultured bacterium. RNAcentral describes it as "partial 16S ribosomal RNA". It matches the Rfam family "Bacterial small subunit ribosomal RNA", at positions 30 to 507 of the family's 1533-position model. The record is from RNAcentral.
CGAACGCUGGCGGCGUGCUUAACACAUGCAAGUCGAACGGAAGGGCCCUGCUUGCAGGGUACUCGAGUGGCGAACGGGUGAGUAACACGUGGGUGAUCUGCCCUGCACUUCGGGAUAAGCUUGGGAAACUGGGUCUAAUACCGGAUAGGAACCAUCUUUAGUGUGGUGGUUGGAAAGUUUUUUCGGUGUAGGAUGAGCUCGCGGCCUAUCAGCUUGUUGGUGGGGUAAUGGCCUACCAAGGCGGCGACGGGUAGCCGGCCUGAGAGGGUGUACGGCCACAUUGGGACUGAGAUACGGCCCAGACUCCUACGGGAGGCAGCAGUGGGGAAUAUUGCACAAUGGGCGCAAGCCUGAUGCAGCGACGCCGCGUGGGGGAUGAAGGCCUUCGGGUUGUAAACUCCUUUCGCUAGGGACGAAGCUUUGUUGUGACGGUACCUAGAUAAGAAGCACCGGCUAACUACGUG